AGUUAGGGGACUGAUGCGCCAUCUAUUAGCGGUAACAGCACCUGAAUUCACAGCAACUUGUUACUAAGCACUGCGUGGUGAUAGAAUGCGUUGACAUAUCCUUUUGGUAGCGGAGAGAGAGAAACUUUUAUUGUUUAAAAGGAUUUUCGUGGAAUGUCGUGAGCCCCUUUAGCGGAGAGAUGUAUCACAGGUGAUGGGGCGAAAGCUUUGUAAAUGCUUAUUAUACCAAUUUGGGUACUUGCCGGUGUUUAAGCAGAAAGCACACAGUGAGCUUCACUUAUUAUUGCAGAGCUCAGCGGCCAACUGACGCGAUAGCAUGGAUAUGACAACGUAGAGUAGCAAGCGAGAGCGCCGACUCUGCCAGCCGAGGCGACUUGUCACAGCGCCGCGAGCGCCGCUACGUCGUCGUGCGGCGGCCUGUGGAGGCAACCCGGGCUGUCGCCCCCGGCUGAUAAGCGAGGGCGCCGUUGAGGUUUCCCAUGGCCGCUACGUGCCGUAUUUCAAAGGCGCAUCAGCGGGGCAACGCUUCUGACGCUUCGCUUCGCCGCCGUGCAACUGGGCCGCAACUCGGGCGACACUCUUCUGUCAACAGCUACUGACAACGUUUCGCUCGACCAAGCGUGGUCAACGCCGUUGGCCAGUGCCUGCUGAUUCCUGGCGCAUCGGGACGCGUGUCUGGUCAAGGUGCAUGGGUCCUCUUCUGUGCGCAUGCAGCCCUGUCCACUUGUACCGAUGUUGAGAAGCGGGGACCCAAGUCCGAAUUCACAGAGGCACCUUGGACGCUGGAAAAGGAACGGCAAGAUCGGUGCGUCCGCUCCUUUUUGCAGACACUCGUGCUCACCAAUUCUCAUUGAGACCUGUUCCACACAGCAUUUCUUGUGCUACGGAGCUGUUUGUAAGAACGGGCGCCGAGUCGAGUCGGUGACUGGACGGCGUGACUGGCCAAUAAUGACGUCCGAUUCUGACGGACGGAAAGCUUCGUGAGUUCAGUCCCAGCGCCCGUAUUUGCUGAGCAGACACCGCACUCCCAAAGCUUCUGGUUCAUAAGUGUUCUUGCCAUUGGCCAGCCGCCUCCGCUAGUAUAAUAUGUCCAGCAUCAAGAUUGGCUGCAAUUUUCUAUUGCGAACAAGGCUAGCGUAAGACCGUUUCGUGAAUAAUGGUCGAGUUUCGCAAUAGAGCGGUUCGUAAAAAACACGCGCCGGUCACUUCUAUCAGCAAACAUAUUAUUCACGAACGAGGUCGGUCAGUAACGAACAGUUAAUACGAACGAAAAGCUUUGGGAAUUGUCGCCUGGAGGCCGUAUUAACAAAGCUUUUCGUUCGUAAGAGCCUUGUUUUCUUUGUUUCUUUCUUUCUUUCUGUUUUGCAUGCGCUUGAAUACGGGCCCUGAGCCAAUAAAUAUUACAGCACUUACGCUAGAACUCUUCGUAAGAACAGCCGUUAGCCAAUCGUGAUGACGGGCAUAUAUUAUUAGUGAAGCUGGUCGUCCAAUGGCAAAGAACGAAAGACUGUUAAUUCGGCUCUUCGGCCUGCAUUCACAAACUAUAGUUCUUGCGCUAUAGAACUGUUCCUAAGAGCAGUUUUCAGUGAAUAGUAAUCUUGGACAUACCCAUUAACGAAAACGGCUUGCCAGUAAUGGCAAACAGUUCUUACGAACAAAAAACUGAGAAUUUGACCCUUGCGCCGACAAACAGCCACUCUCCGUUGCUUUCGCGCAAGGUCCGAUCGGUGCCUGAGAUCAACCUCGCAUCCGAGCAAGUCGGCGACGCAUCGGACGUCCUUACCUGGGGAAGCUAUGUGAAUUACGCCGAAUGGGCGGCGCGCUAUAUUGUAACAUCGUGUGGCUAUAAACCAAUUGCUUUCCUUAUCGUUUCGUCUGCGCUCGCGUUCCUCAUUUGCACUGAUAACGUCUACCACAGGAGUUACAUACUGCUGUCUUCUUUGCUUGAAAAUGAAUAAGUUCCUUAUAGCAACUGCAUUCGGAAAGCAAGUUCUGGGAACACUACUACCUGUACCGCAAGGUGACAGAUAUGACUGUUACCAUACAGCUGUUGAACGUGUCUCUGCGUGGUUGAUUCUCGUCAGUCUCUUCAGAAUUAUUUCUUCCCGUUUUCGUACGUGUUCAUCUGAAGAACGACAAACGUCGACUCGUUUCCGCAUUUCGCGUUUUUCAUUUCGCGUUGUUCUACAUCAUUCUCGAACGGAAGCGGCGUCGCACAAAAGCGCGGGACAGCAUUUGUGACGCCGAGCAGCGCGCUGUUGAAUGUCCGCACAGAUGGCUGUAAACUCGCUUGUUAGCAGCUGCCAUUUCGUUUCGUCCAACGUGUUUUCCGACAACGUAUAUCAUCAUUGUAAUACGGAGAGAUGCUAUGUUGAAAAAGAAAGAAAGAAAGAAAGAAAGAAAGAAAGAAAGA
Dermacentor andersoni is the source of this 2413-nucleotide non-coding RNA. The record is from RefSeq and is a predicted model, not a curated record. NCBI's taxonomy places the organism in Eukaryota, Metazoa, Arthropoda, Arachnida, Ixodida, Ixodidae.